Molecule: long non-coding RNA, 2513 nt
Filed under: Homo sapiens (human)
Lineage: Eukaryota; Metazoa; Chordata; Mammalia; Primates; Hominidae
Description: non-protein coding lnc-NUDT3-1:2
Source: RNAcentral
UUGUCUUUAACCUCCCUUUGUUGUGGAGAAAAUGUGUCACUAAUCAGUGGUCCAAGGGAUAUCUAGCUUUGGUUACUCAGUUCCUGCAGCAUAACAGAUAUGACUUAUGCCAGGGAAGGUAGAGGCUGAUUAUGGAGACACCCAGGAACAGGAAUAAGAAGGGAUAGGUCUGCUCCACGUAGAACCUCCCCAGAUCGGAAGUUAAGUCUUGGAGAGUUUCCAAAGUGCUGAAGUAAAAAGGAGACUUGGAGGGCCUUUGCUUAAUGAGCAAGAGGCUUGUGUCCUCCCAAGAACAUGAGGGAGUUCAGAAGGGAGCUAUAGCUCACAGACAGAAACCUGCCCGCUCACCCCAUCCCUCGUGACUGGGAGCAUGUUUGCUCAGAAUUUUCUAAGAGGACUCUCCCUUCAAAAAUCCAAUUUGCUCCCAGAAUGUUGUUUAGCCUCUGAGAAUCUCACUCUUUCAUUUCCAUCUGUGAAUGGACAUAGAUGUGUUGCUCAGGGAUCAGAAACAUCAGAGUCCAGGGCCCAGUGGCAUGGUGUUGCAUUAGUAGUUAGAAAAGUAAUUGGUCAGCUCUACUGUAAAAGAAAUAAGUAUGUAGUACAGUUUUGUAAAUGUCAGGUCUGUUCUAUUGUUUUGUGAUCUGAAGACUGUCAAACUGGUUGAUAAUCAAAGAAAAGGUUGGUGGUUAGAAUAAGUAAAAUUUCAGUUAGAAAGAUAUAGCUUACCAGUUUUCCAUGUGCUUAAGGAAGUCAAGAAUAUUUCAGGUUGUUGAGAACUGUUGUAAAAUGGAAUUGAAGCUAGUGUCUCUCACCUUCUUAGGUGUAUCAGAGAGAGGAAGUGGAAGGCCAGUAGUAGCAUCUUCAUACUUACUUUUGCCAGCCCAGCCUCCAUUUCAAAGACUUUGUCUUCCAUCCUAUCCAAUGACAUGGUCAGGGAUGGGCUCUGAGGAGGCAGUGAGGCCCCACCUUGGUUUGCUCCACUGUGGUGUGUAGUCUCCAAACAGCUUAAGGGUUUUUAAGUUUUCUCACGAUUACCUCCACUCCACUCAUCUACUAUCAGCAUCAGAAAGGUUAACAUCCCUGGGACCAUUCUACUUAUAAAAGAGAUGAACUAGUGUGCUUUCUCCCCUUUUCCAGGUGUGCCAUCCAUAUACAAUCUCCUCUUGGCCAAGUUCAACAAAUGUUUCCAGGGAACCCCGUGGGUUGAGGCAAAGUAGCCAAGAUGUAUUGAGUUAAGUUUUUCUAGAGGACAAAAGUAUUUCUUGUCCCUUUUCCCUCAUGCUCAUAUGUUUUAGCUGAGGCGUAAAUGGCCAAGUUGAGUAAUAUCUGUGGAACUGAGACAGAGAGCCAGGGACCCAUGUACCCAGGGACCAGUCCCCUGGGGAAUCACACAGUGGCUCAGACUAGACUGCUCUAUCCCACCAGAACUCUGCUGCUGUUCAUUUCCAUCAGGACCACCCAGGAAAGCAAAUAAGUUAGCCUUCUCAUCAUUAGGUCACCUAAUCUCUUGGGUUGCAGGAUGAGAGCAUAUAUAGAUCUCCUGUUUAGAGAGUGUGUUCAUAAUUGUAGAAAGGGAUAGAAAAUGGAAUAACCAAGAGGCUGUGUCAUUUUUUAAGAGGAUGGCAAGGAUGACCUCAAAUGAGCUCAACAAAACUGGGAAUCCAAGGAAUGGUGCUUGUAGGGAAAGAGAGGUCAGUUGUGGUCCUUAAACCUCUUGGCACCUUGUGCGGGUUAUAAAACAAGGAGCUGGAGUAAAAUUGCCCUUACCCCCAAUCCAAAUGCUGUCCAGGAUUUAGGAGCUACCCAACCUGUGGUUAUAUGGUGUUGGUUUCCAUUUUUUGUUUGUUUGCUUGUUUCCAAAAUAGCCUUGCUUGGUACUGCAUGGAAAGUUCAAGCUUUUCUUCUUGCCCGCUCAGGGCUGGCCUCUUCCCCGUGUCUUCACAGCGUCCCUAAGGAAGAUUUUUGCAGCACUCUCUGGAGCUGAGGGGAGUGAAAUUUGGUCCAGAGAAGGCGGAAGGAAAUAGUUUUCCUGUUUCCUUUUCUCGAGGUGGAUGUCCUCAGGCUUCCUUCACACCUCCUUCUCAUGGGUGCGGCUGGCAGUACAGUCAGGCUGUGGAGGAGGGCUGAGAAGAAAGGGGCACUGGUCCAGCCCCAGGUUUGGUCUGAGACAGGUACACAGCAGAUACCAUCCCACCUUCCUCUCUAAAGAACAGGCCAGCCACACAUAUAACCCUUUCCCUACUUUACUAAUGUAUCCCUUAUGUGGUACCAGCAAUGGAGGACAGGCAGACUUACCCCCUGCCAUCUAGAGAGAAUGUUGUUAUUACCCGUAAAACUUGACCACCCCCAUAUCCCACUCCUUUUUGUAAAAACAAAUGCUUAAACCUGUGAGCCUGCCGUUCCUUUCUAUGUGUUAAUCAGUUUCCUUCCAUUUGAGCUGUGUGGGAGGGAAGGGCAUUGAAAUUGUAGGUUGUAAUCUUGUGCCAACCAAUAAAAACCAGUAUUUCACACAC